RNAcentral lists this ribosomal RNA (253 nucleotides) under uncultured bacterium. RNAcentral's name for it is "partial 16S ribosomal RNA". It matches the Rfam family "Bacterial small subunit ribosomal RNA", at positions 524 to 776 of the family's 1533-position model. The record is from RNAcentral.
GACGUAGGGCGCGAGCGUUGUCCGGAUUUAUUGGGCGUAAAGAGCGUGUAGGCGGCCAGAAAAGUCCGCUGUGAAAACUCGAGGCUCAACUUCGAGCUGUCGGUGGAAACUUUCUGGCUAGAGUCCGGAAGAGGAGAAUGGAAUUCCUGGUGUAGCGGUGAAAUGCGCAGAUAUCAGGAAGAACACCCGUGGCGAAGGCGGGUCUCUGGGCAACAACUGACGCUGAGGAGCGAAAGCGUGGGGAGCGAACAGG